This 253-nucleotide ribosomal RNA is filed under the name uncultured bacterium. RNAcentral's name for it is "partial 16S ribosomal RNA". It matches the Rfam family "Bacterial small subunit ribosomal RNA", at positions 524 to 776 of the family's 1533-position model. The record is from RNAcentral.
UACGGGGGGGGCAAGCGUUGUUCGGAAUCACUGGGCGUAAAGGGCGCGUAGGCGGCCAACUAAGUCAGACGUGAAAUCCCUCGGCUUAACCGGGGAACUGCGCAUGAUACUGGAUGGCUUGAGUUUGGGAGAGGGAUGCGGAAUUCCAGGUGUAGCGGUGAAAUUCGUAGAUAUCGAGAGGAACACCGGUGGCGAAGGCGGCCUUCUGGACAGUGACUGACGCUGAGACGCGAAAGCGUGGGGAGCAAACAGG